RNAcentral lists this ribosomal RNA (253 nucleotides) under uncultured bacterium. Its description in RNAcentral is "partial 16S ribosomal RNA". It matches the Rfam family "Bacterial small subunit ribosomal RNA", at positions 524 to 776 of the family's 1533-position model. The record is from RNAcentral.
UACAGAGACUGCGAGCGUUAUUCGGAUUCACUGGGCGUAAAGGGUGCGCAGGCGGCCAAGUGUGUUAGGCGUGAAAGCCCGGGGCUUAACCCCGGAAUUGCACCUAAAACUACAUGGCUAGAGCAUUGGAGAGGGUAGCAGAAUUCACGGUGUAGCAGUGAAAUGCGUAGAUAUCGUGAGGAAUACCAGAGGCGAAGGCGGCUACCUGGACAAUUGCUGACGCUCAAGCACGAAAGCGUGGGGAGCAAAAGGG